GAAAUGCGAUAAGUAAUGUGAAUUGCAGAAUUCAGUGAAUCAUCGAAUCUUUGAACGCACAUUGCGCCCUCUGGUAUUCCGGGGGGCAUGCCUGUUCGAGCGUCAUUUUCACCCCUCAAGCUAAGCUUGGUAUUGGGUUUCUCGCCUUUCUUUACAGGAAGGCGUGCCCGAAAUUUAGCGGCGAUGCAGCCGAACUCCCUAGCGCAGUGACUUUUUACAACGCUACAAGGAGAUUUCGACUUUUGUAUUUGCCGGUCAACAACCAAAUUUUUUUACGAUUGACCUCGGAUCAGGUAGGGAUACCCGCUGAACUUAA
This 316-nucleotide unclassified non-coding RNA is filed under the name uncultured Ostropales. Its description in RNAcentral is "sequence contains ITS1". The stretch from base 1 to 105 matches the Rfam family "5.8S ribosomal RNA", at positions 50 to 154 of the family's 154-position model. Lineage: Eukaryota; Fungi; Ascomycota; Lecanoromycetes. The record is from RNAcentral.